UGGCUCAGUGGUCAGAGUACUUGGCUGCUAACCAAAAGGUCGGCGGUUUGAACCCACC
RNAcentral lists this transfer RNA (58 nucleotides) under Loxodonta africana (African savanna elephant). It matches the Rfam family "tRNA", at positions 8 to 63 of the family's 71-position model. From Rfam's summary of the family: Transfer RNA (tRNA) molecules are approximately 80 nucleotides in length. Their secondary structure includes four short double-helical elements and three loops (D, anti-codon, and T loops). Lineage: Eukaryota; Metazoa; Chordata; Mammalia; Proboscidea; Elephantidae. The record is from Rfam by way of RNAcentral.